AUGGCUGUCGUCAGCUCGUGUCGUGAGAUGUUGGGUUAAGUCCCGCAACGAGCGCAACCCCCGUCGCAUGUUGCCAGCAUUUAGUUGGGGACUCAUGCGAGACUGCCGGUGACAAACCGGAGGAAGGUGGGGAUGACGUCAAGUCCUCAUGCCCCUUAUGUCCAGGGCUACACACGUGCUACAUUGGCGCAUACAGAGGGCUGCGAUACCGCGAGGUGGAGCGAAUCCCUUAAAGUGCGUCUCGGUUCGGAUUGCAGGCUGAAAUUCGCCUGCAUGAAGGCGGAGUUGCUAGUAAUCGCGGAUCAGCAUUGCCGCGGUGAAUACGUUCCCGGGCCUUGUACACACCGCCCGUCACACCACGGGAGUGAGCAACACCCGAAGCCGGUGGCCCAACCCGCAAGGGAGGGAGCCGUCGAAGGUGGGGCUCGUGACUGGGGUGAAGUCGUAACAAGGUAGCCGUAGCGGAAGCUGCGGCUGGAUCACCUCCUUUCUAGGGAGCAUCUACGCGAUGCCCCGAUCCAUGGUCCGUCGCAAGACGGAUCGCGCGGUCGCAGGGCCCUUGAGGCCAGGCGAUGUCUAAGCGGAUCGGGCCUAGCAUGUCGACCGAACCUGGCUGGAUGGCCGCGCCACGCGCGUCUCCCUCACUACUUGGGGAGCACAACCGUUCGCGGCCGCAACGACCCCAGCAUGCUGUUGAGUUUUGAGGGACCGGCGUCGACCGGUUCCCGUGAGGACGCGCCAGCACGGCGUGACCAAUCAACACGGAGAUCGGCCGGCGUUACACGUUUCUCCACGGUCCUUGAAAACUGCACAGAAGCCACAUUCAGCCGCCAUCGAUAAGCGGCGGCUGAAAACGGGUAUCACCGGGCCCUGCGUGACUCUUAACGAUCACGUUGGGCCAGAUCACCGUCAAGAUAGUAAGGGCACACGGUGGAUGCCUUGGCACCAAGAGUCGAUGAAGGGCGUGAACGGCUGCGAUAAGCCACGGUCAGGCGCUUAAUAGCCUUUGACCCGUGGAUUCCCGAAUGGGGAAACCCGG
This 1039-nucleotide small RNA is filed under the name uncultured Solirubrobacterales bacterium. Its description in RNAcentral is "bacterial SSU rRNA". The stretch from base 1 to 490 matches the Rfam family "Bacterial small subunit ribosomal RNA", at positions 1045 to 1533 of the family's 1533-position model. Lineage: Bacteria; Bacillati; Actinomycetota; Thermoleophilia; Solirubrobacterales. The record is from RNAcentral.